RNAcentral lists this ribosomal RNA (182 nucleotides) under uncultured bacterium. RNAcentral describes it as "partial 16S ribosomal RNA". It matches the Rfam family "Bacterial small subunit ribosomal RNA", at positions 1319 to 1500 of the family's 1533-position model. The record is from RNAcentral.
CAUGAAGCUGGAUUCGCUAGUAAUCGCGGAUCAGAAUGUCGCGGUGAAUACGUUCCCGGGUCUUGUACACACCGCCCGUCACACCAUGGGAGUCGGGAAUGCCCGAAGUCAGUGACCCAACCUAUUGGAGGGAGCUGCCGAAGGCAGGUCUGAUAACUGGGGUGAAGUCGUAACAAGGUAAC